GGUGAGAUGGCUCAGUGGGUAAGGGCACCCGACUGCUCUUCCGAAGGUCCAGAGUUCGAAUCCCAGCAACCA
Molecule: transfer RNA, 72 nt
Filed under: Mus musculus (house mouse)
Lineage: Eukaryota; Metazoa; Chordata; Mammalia; Rodentia; Muridae
Description: tRNA-Ser
Source: RNAcentral